GAUGAACGCUGGCGGCGUGCCUAAUACAUGCAAGUCGAGCGAACAGACGAGGAGCUUGCUCCUCUGACGUUAGCGGCGGACGGGUGAGUAACACGUGGAUAACCUACCUAUAAGACUGGGAUAACUUCGGGAAACCGGAGCUAAUACCGGAUAAUAUAUUGAACCGCAUGGUUCAAUAGUGAAAGACGGUUUUGCUGUCACUUAUAGAUGGAUCCGCGCCGCAUUAGCUAGUUGGUAAGGUAACGGCUUACCAAGGCAACGAUGCGUAGCCGACCUGAGAGGGUGAUCGGCCACACUGGAACUGAGGCACGGUCCAGACUCCUACGGGAGGCAGCAGUAGGGAAUCUUCCGCGAUGGACGAAAGCCUGACGGAGCAACGCCGCGUGAGUGAUGAAGGUCUUCGGAUCGUAAAACUCUGUUAUUAGGGAAGAACAAAUGUGUAAGUAACUAUGCACGUCUUGACGGUACCGAAUCAGAAAGCCACGGCUAACUACGUG
RNAcentral lists this ribosomal RNA (497 nucleotides) under uncultured bacterium. Its description in RNAcentral is "partial 16S ribosomal RNA". It matches the Rfam family "Bacterial small subunit ribosomal RNA", at positions 28 to 507 of the family's 1533-position model. The record is from RNAcentral.